This 490-nucleotide ribosomal RNA is filed under the name uncultured bacterium. RNAcentral's name for it is "partial 16S ribosomal RNA". It matches the Rfam family "Bacterial small subunit ribosomal RNA", at positions 30 to 507 of the family's 1533-position model. The record is from RNAcentral.
AUUGAACGCUGGCGGCAGGCCUAACACAUGCAAGUCGAACGGUAACAGGAAGAAGCUUGCUUCUUUGCUGACGAGUGGCGGACGGGUGAGUAAUGUCUGGGAAACUGCCUGAUGGAGGGGGAUAACUACUGGAAACGGUAGCUAAUACCGCAUAACGUCGCAAGACCAAAAAGGGGGACCUUCGGGCCUCUUGCCAUCGGAUGUGCCCAGAUGGGAUUAGCUAGUAGGUGGGGUAACGGCUCACCUAGGCGACGAUCCCUAGCUGGUCUGAGAGGAUGACCAGCCACACUGGAACUGAGAAACGGUCCAGACUCCUACGGGAGGCAGCAGUGGGGAAUAUUGCACAAUGGGCGCAAGCCUGAUGCAGCCAUGCCGCGUGUAUGAAGAAGGCCUUCGGGUUGUAAAGUACUUUCAGCGGGGAGGAAGGGAGUAAAGUUAAUACCUUUGCUCAUUGACGUUACCCGCAGAAGAAGCACCGGCUAACUCCGUG